This 253-nucleotide ribosomal RNA is filed under the name uncultured bacterium. RNAcentral describes it as "partial 16S ribosomal RNA". It matches the Rfam family "Bacterial small subunit ribosomal RNA", at positions 524 to 776 of the family's 1533-position model. The record is from RNAcentral.
UACGGAGGGUGCAAGCGUUAAUCGGAAUUACUGGGCGUAAAGCGUGCGCAGGCGGUUUGUUAAGUCUGUUGUGAAAUCCCCGAGCUCAACUUGGGAAUUGCAAUGGAUACUGGCAGGCUGGAGUAUGGUAGAGGAAGGUGGAAUUCCCGGUGUAGCAGUGAAGUGCGUAGAGAUCGGGAGGAACACCAGUGGCGAAGGCGGCCUUCUGGACCAAUACUGACGCUCAUGCACGAAAGCGUGGGGAGCAAACAGG